This 253-nucleotide ribosomal RNA is filed under the name uncultured bacterium. RNAcentral's name for it is "partial 16S ribosomal RNA". It matches the Rfam family "Bacterial small subunit ribosomal RNA", at positions 524 to 776 of the family's 1533-position model. The record is from RNAcentral.
UACGAAGGGGGCUAGCGUUGCUCGGAAUGACUGGGCGUAAAGGGCGCGUAGGCGGCUUGAUUCGUCAGGCGUGAAAUUCCUGGGCUCAACCUGGGGGCUGCGUUUGAUACAAUUGGGCUAGAGUGGGGAAGAGGGUCGUGGAAUUCCCAGUGUAGAGGUGAAAUUCGUAGAUAUUGGGAAGAACACCGGUGGCGAAGGCGGCGACCUGGUCCUUGACUGACGCUGAGGCGCGAAAGCGUGGGGAGCAAACAGG